UACAGAGGGGGCAAGCGUUGUUCGGAAUUACUGGGCGUAAAGCGUGCGCAGGCGGUUCGCUGUGUCCGAUGUGAAAGCCCCGGGCUUAACCUGGGAAUGGCAUUGGAAACUGGCGGGCUUGAGUGUGGCAGAGGGGGGUGGAAUUCCGCGUGUAGCAGUGAAAUGCGUAGAGAUGCGGAGGAGCACCGAUGGCGAAGGCAGCCCCCUGGGCUAACACUGACGCUCAGGCACGAAAGCGUGGGGAGCAAACAGG
This 253-nucleotide ribosomal RNA is filed under the name uncultured bacterium. RNAcentral's name for it is "partial 16S ribosomal RNA". It matches the Rfam family "Bacterial small subunit ribosomal RNA", at positions 524 to 776 of the family's 1533-position model. The record is from RNAcentral.